RNAcentral lists this ribosomal RNA (253 nucleotides) under uncultured bacterium. RNAcentral's name for it is "partial 16S ribosomal RNA". It matches the Rfam family "Bacterial small subunit ribosomal RNA", at positions 524 to 776 of the family's 1533-position model. The record is from RNAcentral.
UACGUAGGGUGCAAGCGUUGUCCGGAAUUAUUGGGCGUAAAGAGCUCGUAGGCGGUUUGUCGCGUCUGCUGUGAAAACUCGGGGCUUAACCCCGGGCCUGCAGUGGGUACGGGCAGACUAGAGUGCGGUAGAGGAGACUGGAAUUCCUGGUGUAGCGGUGAAAUGCGCAGAUAUCAGGAGGAACACCGGUGGCGAAGGCGGGUCUCUGGGCCGUAACUGACGCUGAGGAGCGAAAGCGUGGGGAGCGAACAGG